Molecule: ribosomal RNA, 466 nt
Filed under: uncultured bacterium
Lineage: Bacteria
Description: partial 16S ribosomal RNA
Rfam family: Bacterial small subunit ribosomal RNA
Source: RNAcentral
GACGAACGCUGGCGGCGUGCUUAACACAUGCAAGUCGAACGGAAAGGCCCUGCUUGCAGGGUACUCGAGUGGCGAACGGGUGAGUAACACGUGGGUGAUCUGCCCUGCACUUCGGGAUAAGCUUGGGAAACUGGGUCUAAUACCGGAUAGGAGCCAUCUUUAGUGUGGUGGUUGGAAAGUUUUUUCGGUGUGGGAUGAGCUCGCGGCCUAUCGGCUUGUUGGUGGGGUAAUGGCCUACCAAGGCGGCGACGGGUAGCCGGCCUGAGAGGGUGUACGGCCACAUUGGGACUGAGAUACGGCCCAGACUCCUACGGGAGGCAGCAGUGGGGAAUAUUGCACAAUGGGCGCAAGCCUGAUGCAGCGACGCCGCGUGGGGGAUGAAGGCCUUCGGGUUGUAAACUCCUUUCGCUAGGGACGAAGCUUUUUUGUGACGGUACCUAGAUAAGAAGCACCGGCUAACUACGUG